Molecule: non-coding RNA, 32 nt
Filed under: Oceanobacillus picturae
Lineage: Bacteria; Bacillati; Bacillota; Bacilli; Caryophanales; Bacillaceae
Description: L31-Firmicutes ribosomal protein leader
Rfam family: L31-Firmicutes ribosomal protein leader
Source: RNAcentral
CUCUGUUUCAAAGGAUUCAGGGCAAAAAGGAG